GGCAGAGGUGAAAGGUCAAACCUGAAGGCGGAAAAAAAAGGUCUAGUCCGGAGAAAAUGAUGCCUAAGUUCGCUAAGUGUUUUCCAGAAACAGAGAAGGAGAACACGACCAGUAGAGAGAGGAUCCAAAACUGACCACAAUAAACGGAUACAAAGUAUAAGCCUUUUAAAAGGCGCGCCUGACGUCGAGAGGAGCACCAUGAAGACAUUUUGAAGAUGUUGCUUGCUAACACCACUGCACUUCCUGCUUCGUUACAGUACUGAAUGAAAGUAUGCGGCUUCAUAUGAGUGUGGCACUCUGUACCUCAGAUGAUCUGGUGAGUUUGCUCCAAAGUCUGAAUGUGAGGAGACACCAGUUUGAGAAUGAGAAGCACCUUUUGUUCUGCGGUUUCCAGGAAAAAGCGGCGAGGGUCUCAAGGGGACAGAAACAAUCUCCAACAUCACCAUCUUGGCAAUGCCUGACUCUGGCUAAUCCAAAAAUGGGCAAAGAGGUGGAGCCGAAAGAAGCCUGGUUGCUGCCCUGAGAGGGCACCCACCUGUCACUCAAUGCGGCCGCGUCCUUAAUCUUGCAUAACUUUAAGCCUUAAUAUAAUUUAAACAGGCGGCCAGUAGGAUCCAGGGCACAAAGAGGAAGGAGCUGGGAGGUGGCAGACAGUGAGCUGCUACAAACUACAGCACACUGGGUCAUAGGAGGAGCCAGGAGGACAGAGAGUGUUGUUCCCAGAAGUCAACUGCAGUGAGGCGGGGCGUCAGCCAGCACACCAGAGACCUGCCUUCCCUUUGCCUUCCCAGCUGCUGGGAAAGAUGGAGAUACCAGCAAAUCUGUGUUUGUUCAGCCACUCCACAAAUAUCCCCUCUCCAGAUUGCGUCUGGCCGAGGAAACGGCACUUGACUGGGAUUCUGAAAUGAUUAUUGGUGGCAGUGUCCUUCUGGGGCUGCUUUUAUAAAUGUGCCAAUAAAUUUCACAUGUCCAGCUUUGUUUUGCUUUCAUUAGGCCUCUAAUCUCCGUCCCAGGGCCAGGCCGAUUCUGCCAUGAGUGAACUCUCUGUUUUCACUAGAGCCAGUGAUUAAUGACUGGACAGGAUCAUUACCAACGCUCUGCUCUGGAGUUACAUAUCUGCUUCUAUUGACACAAUGCCACAAACAGAGCAGCACUACGUCCACUGCAUGUGUGCAUAUACGUGUUUGUAUGAGAAUAUGCGUGUCUGCUCAUAUGUGUGUGAAUAUGAGCUGUUCUUGUUAUUGCAGGUGUGCUUUUCUAUGAUUACAUUUUUUGUCAGGUUUAUCAGUCAUUCCAAUUAUACCAAGUAUUUUUUAUGUUUGAUUUAGCCAAGCCUUGGUUCAGACAAUGACAAUCACCAUACAGUUUAUACCCAUCUCUCAGAAGUAACUCAUACAUUCAUAUCUCUGAAGUUUCAAACACAGUGUAAGGAUUGCUAAUGGACUCAAGGAAUCUGACCUGCCAACAACCCCACCUCUUUUACAACGCGGGCAUUGUUCAUCUUUUCCUUUUAAAACUCAUAUGUCCAUAGCAGCCAGCUAUUAACUUGACAUUUACAGUACUUUUAUCGACUCUUGAGUGCAUUGAUUCAUAACAGUCAUGUAAGUACUCAUCUCCCGGGAUAUUAGUCACCCAUCCUCUUGAUGCUGUAAUAUCAUAUUUUCGCUCGCUGUCUCAAGUCUGUGCCCCAGGCAUGGAGACAUAUGCAUGGCCUGACAAACCAUAGUGCCAUAAACCCCGCCUUUGUGCUGCAGUAUACAUCCGGCAAAGCUGAAUGUUAAUGUGAAUGUGUUUCCACAUGACUAAUAGAUGAUGCAAGCUGUCUGCCAGGCCAGGUUUUCUUCUAAUCGAAAGCCAGACAGUGUGCGGUGGGAACAGGAAACCCAGGGUUUUUGUUUUGUUUUUGUGAGGUCAAAGAAAGACAGAGUCACCUGUAGAGUGGAGUCAGCAGGUGCUCUGCAUCUCAGGUCUCAACACCUUUACUGUCUUGGGAGUGAUUAUGCUGCCUGCAGACUGGCUGCUAGAUGGGAGGUAGAGAUGGGGAGGGAACUGUUCUCUUUCCAUAUACCUAUAAAAUGUGUUAAUAGAUACAGUAUGAAUAUGGUUCUAAAUACACAUAAAUACUGUUAUCUGUUUACUUGAUCCAGCUUCAUGCUCUUCAUACCGGUUGGGUGAGAAUUAAAAAUUUUGAUACCA
Long non-coding RNA from Siniperca chuatsi (mandarin fish), 2196 nucleotides. RefSeq lists it as uncharacterized. The transcript has 4 exons. The record is from RefSeq and is a predicted model, not a curated record. Lineage: Eukaryota; Metazoa; Chordata; Actinopteri; Centrarchiformes; Sinipercidae.